GCGUAGGAAUCUGCCCAGUAGAGGGGGAUAGCCCGGGGAAACUCGGAUUAAUACCGCAUAAGCCCUACGGGGGAAAGGCCGGGAUCUUCGGACCGGUCACUAUUGGAUGAGCCUGCGUUGGAUUAGCUUGUUGGUGGGGUAAAGGCCCACCAAGGCGACGAUCCAUAGCUGGUCUGAGAGGAUGAUCAGCCACACUGGGACUGAGACACGGCCCAGACUCCUACGGGAGGCAGCAGUCGGGAAUAUUGGACAAUGGGGGCAACCCUGAUCCAGCCAUGCCGCGUGUGUGAAGAAGGCCUU
Molecule: ribosomal RNA, 300 nt
Filed under: uncultured Alteromonadales bacterium
Lineage: Bacteria; Pseudomonadati; Pseudomonadota; Gammaproteobacteria; Alteromonadales
Description: bacterial SSU rRNA
Rfam family: Bacterial small subunit ribosomal RNA
Source: RNAcentral